AGCGGCGGACGGGUGAGUAACGCGUGGGUAACCUGCCUCAUACAGGGGGAUAACAGUUGGAAACGGCUGCUAAUACCGCAUAAGCGCACAGUACCGCAUGGUACGGUGUGAAAAACUCCGGUGGUAUGAGAUGGACCCGCGUUGGAUUAGCUAGUUGGUGGGGUAACGGCCUACCAAGGCGACGAUCCAUAGCCGGCCUGAGAGGGUGAACGGCCACAUUGGGACUGAGACACGGCCCAG
Molecule: ribosomal RNA, 240 nt
Filed under: uncultured bacterium
Lineage: Bacteria
Description: partial 16S ribosomal RNA
Rfam family: Bacterial small subunit ribosomal RNA
Source: RNAcentral